AUGGUGAGAUCUACGAGCCCCGCCACAAAUGGAGACCAGUCCUGUAGAACAGACGACAGGGAGGGAAUGGAUGAAGACAAGGCAACAGUGACACCACAGCCGAAGAGUAAGGGAAUAAAGCAAAUACCCAAUAAAACCAAGCUCCUGGAGAGAUCUGGAGAGGAAGAAAUAGCUUCCAUUCAGAUCUGGACUGUGGAGCAUUUUCAAGAUUUGCAGCAGCUAGCGUUCAAUAGGCAGCAGAUAAAACUAAGUGACAGUAGAUCAAGAUGCAGAGCUCCCUUCAAUCCAAACAGCGGUCAGCCAGGGAUCGAAGCGGCUCCUCGGUCAUGCAAACCACAAGCCUAUCUCCUCGCUUUCAGAGAUAGGAUAGUGGGAACCAUGAACAAGCAGCUGCACAAACCCUUCGGUAGACCCUUCAUUGGAAUGAUAGGAGCUCCACCUCAAAACCAAAUCCAAAACAAACCACACAGAUCAAAGAAAACCAAGCAAAACAAGAUCUGUGCUGUGGUUCACAAGCGGAAACCAAGAACAAAGAGCACGACCAUCCAUGGAGGAUAUGCUGGCAAGAACUUGGUAGACAAUAGGCCACAUCUAUGGGGCUAG
Molecule: ribosomal RNA, 603 nt
Filed under: Triticum aestivum (bread wheat)
Lineage: Eukaryota; Viridiplantae; Streptophyta; Magnoliopsida; Poales; Poaceae
Description: partial small subunit ribosomal RNA
Source: RNAcentral